This 63-nucleotide transfer RNA is filed under the name Phloeotribus sp. BMNH 1047247. Its description in RNAcentral is "tRNA-Glu". Lineage: Eukaryota; Metazoa; Arthropoda; Insecta; Coleoptera; Curculionidae. The record is from RNAcentral.
UUUUAUUUAGUUUAAAAAAAACUUUACAUUUUCAUUGUAAAAUUAGAUUAAUUCUAAUAAAUA